GGGAAAUUAACACAGUCCAAUCAACAUGUUAAACUCAUGCACAAGAGUUUGAUAAAAACAUAUUUCUUUGGAUCCAUAUUUCUAACAUAUAAUCAGCCACAUACAGGUUCUUCUGCUAGAGUAAUUUACAUUGAUGAAAAUGGGAGUUAAACACAACAGAAAUGAAAAUGGGAGCAGAAGAUUGUAGCUGAAGAGACAACAUUCUCAUUGUCCGGGGACAAAGUUAGUAGCAAAAGCCCAUGCGUUGUUCGCGACAGGGUCAGCAACAUGGUCAUAAAGGUUCUGAAUAGGGCCCUUGCCAGUAACAAUGGCUUGAACAAAGAAACCAAACAUGGAGAACAUAGCCAGCCGACCAUUCUUGAGUUCCUUGACCUUCAACUCUGCAAAUGAAUCAGGGUCAUCAGCAAGGCCAAGAGGGUCAAAAGCACCACCAGGGUAAAGUGGGUCUAGUCCUUCGCCGAGGGGUCCUCCUCCAACUCUGUAGCCUUCAACAAAUCCCAUGAGCACAACCUGAGUAGCCCAGAUUGCAAGAAUGCUCUGAGCAUGAAUCAGGUUUGGGUUGCCCAAAUAGUCAAGGCCACCCUCCGCAAAGAUCUGGGAACCGGCUUUGAACCACACUGCCUCGCCGAAUUUAACACCAUUCUUUUCAAGGAGUUCGGGGAAGGUACAUCCCAAUGCACCAAGCAUAGCCCAUCUGCUGUGAAUUACUUCAAGCUCACGGUUCCUUGCAAAUGUUUCAGGGUCAGCUGAUAAUCCAGCUGUGUCCCAUCCAUAGUCACCAGGAAAUUCACCAGUCAGGUAGGAUGGAAUUUGUUCAGAGAAUGGACCCAAGUACUUGGGACGGUCAGGACCAUACCUGGUUUUCACAACAGAUCAUUCCAAGUCAAAUAUACAAACAAAUUAUCACAACUUUCAAAUAUCAGUCAUUACCUCUAUAGUACCGAAAAGUCUGAAAAAAUAUGUGUCUGUGUCAAUUUCAAUUUAUUAUUAUUUUUUCCGAAUUAUGUCGGGGUCGAUGUUAUGUGUCUGGUGUCCGUGCUUCAUAGGUCAUUAGCAUUUCAAUCACUGGCUUUUGGGUCUGACCCAACUAGCUAAUAAUUAGUUAUGAUGUUUGUAAGAGACAUGAUGAGUUAAAGGAAUGUUAAAAACCAGAACUUUAUGUAUUUUAACAUAUGCAAAAGCUAAAUUUUGACUGUAACUGAACUACUUACCAAAUGCUUUCAGGAGCACUCUUCACAGUACGACGCAUGGUAAAGCGAGCUUGGCCAAAGUUUCCAGCUUUCCUGAUGAAUUCAUUUCCCUGCCUCAAACCAGUCUUACCAGUGAAAGCUGAUUGUUGGAUAGCAGAGGUGGCCAUGAGGGCGUUGAGACUCCUUGCACUUUGAUGUUGUUCUCUUCGAUGCUACUAGCAAAUGUUGUUGUGAAGAGUGAAGAUAUGCUACAAAGGUUUAUAGAAGUGCAGGGAGUGGCCAGUGUGGAAAUAUUAGAUAUUGUGGAUUAGGAUAUGCACAAGUCAGCAACAUCUUAUUGGUUGUGAAUUUCUACAUGGAUUUCCAAGGUGAUAUAUUGUAUUCAUAUUGUGGCUCUCUUUGUGCCAUGUGGAUGCAGUCAUCUGGUGGCUUAGAUGUUUUUGAAGAGGAUGAAUGUGAGCCAAGGAAAUUAGGUCCACCAAAUUUGAUAGAGAAAAAUGAAAUUUGGAAGAAGUUUGUAUUAAGGGUGACAAUUAAAUCCACGAAGCUAAAGUUCAUAUGAGUCAUCUAUUAAAUUAUCUAUCAAAUCUAUUUAUUGUUCAAAAUAGUUAAUAGAUUAGGGGUCCGUUUGUUUUGGCUUUUUUUAAAAAUGAUUUUUGUAGUGUUAUAUAUUUUAGUGUAAAAAAAUUUAUCAAGAAAAUUUUCAUAAAAGCUUCAAAUGAAAAUUUUGUUUGAAUAGUUAUUCUUAAAAUGUUAUUUUAGGUAUUUUAUCAUUUUAUCGAAACUUUUUUUAGAUAUCAAAAUUUCAAAAAAUCACUUAAUUUUGAAACUAUUUCAAAUAGCUUUUUCUAAAAAUCAUUUUUGAGAUACAAUUUUUUUUAAAAUUAUAAUUUUGAAUAUGUUUUGAUCUUCAAUAAUGUAUAUUUAUGUUAUACAAUGAACAAUUCAACAUUUUAAUAUAUAAAAAAUAAAUUUAGAAAUACUUGCAAUAUUUUGAAAAAUAUUUUUGUAAAAUCCAUUUUAAAAAAUACAAAGAAAAAAUCCAUUUUUUUAAAGCACAGACCCUAGAUUUAAUACAUCCAUUUAAAAAGUUACGCUCAAUCUAUUCAACAAAUUUAAUACCAAGUUUUUAUAAUCAAUAAUAAGAAAAGAGCAUGUAAAAGUAAAAUUUUCAUUAAAAUUCGAAGAAGGAUUAUUUCCCUGAACUUUUAUGAAGAGGUAUUUUCCCCCUCAAAAUCUCCAAAAACUUUUAAGUUCGAACGUACAAGUAUAUUUCUUUCAUAGGUGUUACAAUUUUCUUCUUUUUAGUUGAUUUACAAAGAAAGAGGUGAAAAACAUUUCUUUUUAUGUUAGUCCCAUCAUACCCUUUUUUUCAAAAUUUUAAUAUUAUGCCAUUUCAUAUUAUUGAUGUUUUGUUGAGGGAUGUUUUAAAAUUCGGACAUGUGAUCUGUCAACGAGUUAUUGUUCGGGAUCGCAUGAGUUUUAAUUCAAUUUAUACAAAUUAAUAAAAAUAAUUUUAUGAAAUAAAUUUUUUAAAAUAAAUUUCAUAAUUAUAAAAUCUACAAAAGAAAAUUCUAAAUUUGCUCACCCAAUUAAUUGAAUAAUAAUCUCAAAUAAAAUUCCAACUUCUAAACCUAACAAGUUAUUGAUGGUUAUAAUUAUAAAUUUAUAAAAAUUAAAAAAGUAAUUAUAUGAUAUAAUAAUAUCAUAAAAUAAUAUAGAACAUAAAUAAAUAUCAUGUUCUAUAUAAAUAAUUAAAAAUAAAAUAUAUAAAUAUAAAAGUUAAUAAAAAUAAUAUGACUUUUUUUAAACAAAGAGGACUAAAGUCCAACAACAAACAUAACUACGCCACAACUAAAGGGGGAACCGAAGUUCCCAAUGUCUAUCUCUAGAAGUAUCAACUUACAUAUUCUCUUCCAUUGUCUAUCUGUUGUUACAUUAUGAGUAUUGUCUAAAGUAUUGUACAUGUUUGAAACUCCGACUUCUUUAUUCCCAUCAGCAAAGAUAACUUUAACAUAUGUGUCAUCAUUCUCAUUCGGAGGUAAAAUACAAGUUAUUUGAUACAUCACUUCCACCGGAAGCCAAUGAGCUAAAAUGGUGAAGCUCAAAUCACCCUCAGAGUUCAACAAAUCUGCAACUUCAGCCUGCUGCAAGACCUCCAGAAGUUGAAUAUUUAAAUCAUGCAUCUUGAACCAUGGUGUAAUUUAGUUGCUGGUCUACGCGUUCAUUGUCUUACCAUCAUCAAUUAUCCACAAACAUUACUCAAUAAUCUUCGAUAUAACUUUGAUGAUGCAUUACCAAAAGCUUGAGUUGGACGGUUUCAUUCUUCUCUAUCCACCGCACGAGAAUGAGAUGAGAUAGAUUAUCUACGCAAAGCACGAAAAUGUAAGGAGAAAAUGGAUCUCCCUGACGAAAGAAAUUUGAUGUUAUCUAACUUCAUUCCACCUAAUAUUUAUUUUCUCACUUGUAACCACAUGCAUAAUAAAAUUAGAAAAUAAUAUGAAUUUUGCUUAAAACUAAUAAUAACACUUAUACUAAAAAUAUUGUGAAAAUUUAAUUCACUAUUCCUUUGGUAAUAUGAUUUUUUCUAAAUAAUGAGAUUUAUACUUAAAAUAAUAUAAAAAUAUAAUUUUAUUUUUCUUUAGUAAUAUGAUAUUUUUUCAAAUCUUUUAUUAAUUUAUAAAAUUAUUAUACUAUAGAAUAAAUUUUCUAACUUUUAUAAUUUAUAAUAUUAUUAUAUUCCAUGAUUAAUAAUACAUAACUUUUAUAAUAUUAUAGAAUAUAUAAGUCUCUUUUCGUUUUCGUUAACCAAAUUAAACAUCAAAAGAGAUUCCCGAUGUAGUUUGUAAUUUUAAUAUUAUUUAAUUAUUAUAAAUAAUUAACAUAAGAAGAAUAAUUUUUCGGAUCAAGAAAUCCACUAAUUCAUUGGUCUAACCGAUGAACCACAUGAAUCUCACCAUUUUCUGUCGGGUCAAUUGCAACUAUUGUCAUAUCAUUUUACCAAAUAGUUUUACUCUCUGGUUCACAGUUUAACCAGGUUGAUCGACUGAUCCAAUCCGAAUUUUAAAAACAUUGUUGGUGAGUCAGUUUCUUCGGGAAAAAAUGAUCAUGACAAGCUUUUUAAAAAUGGUGGAUCAUAGUGGUGCAUUUGUUAGAAUUUACUAUAAAAAUUUAUCAUGUCAAACUUAUUUUAGGUGAUGUAAACGAGAAGCUACCAUAAAAAAUUGUUAAGGGAUCCGAGGAUCAUCACACCGGGCUUUAGGAGCAAGUGAGAGGGACACCACAUAUUAGCCCAAAAUCUUAAGACAUUAGGUAUGUGGGUCUUCUCACUUAUAAAGUGUUCAACAUUCACUUUUCAUCUUAUGUGAGACUCAUACUCACACUUGAUAUACCAACAAUCUUCCCCUCAAAUGUGAGUUCUUCCAUUCUUAUGGUCAUUGCUCCCUCUCAAAUAAAAUAAUUUUUCAUUCAUGUCUGCUGGCACUAUCAUUGGAUGGACCCAACGAAACACGUCGCCUGGACACCCUUGUAAGGAAGAUUUUUUAAACAAGGAGCCCUAGUUGAACUAGGCUAUGAUACAUUGUUGGCUAAUGAGGGGGUCCAACGGAACACACCGUCUGGACACCCUUGUUAGGAAUACUUUUGAUACAAGGGAUUAUGUUGAAUGUAAUUCAACAUUCAAGUUAGUUUAGUUUUGAAUUUUAUUUGCAUUUAAGUUUCAUAUGAAUUUGAGUAAUUAUAUAAACCAAAAUGUAAUUGCAUUUGUAAUAGAUUUUUAGUUUUGUAAUUAUUGGAAUCAGAAAGUUCGUUACACAAUUCUCUCUCUUUUCUCAAUUCUCUACGAAUGUUAUUCAUCAUCUUCAUCUUCUUGUGCAAUGUUAGUGGAAGUUCAUUAUUGAACUCCAACAAUAAUGACAUUUAGAUGAAAAAGACUAACUUAAUAUAUUUUUAAAAAUUAAGAAACUCAAAUGAUUUUUUUAAAGUUAAGAAACUAAAAUGAACUCUGAAUAUAAGAUAUAGUAUGAAAAAGGAUAUUAAGUGAUAGUUUUUCUAAAAGGAGAAAUAAACUACAAGAAACACAACUAAUAAGCAUAAAUGUUUAUAAUUUUCAAAUAAGUUUAAUCGCAUAGCUAUUCAAAUUAGUCACACAUUAAAAAUAUCCACCAUCGGUAGUAACUUAUACAAUAUUGAUUUUUUAUGUCAAAAUUGCAACCUUCUUAUAAUAAUUCUAAUUAUUUAAUUUAGAGUAAUGUUACAGUCAAUUCUUACACUAAUAUUUACCUCCAAUAUUGUUUACCGUAUGUAUAUGGUGAAGUAUAUUUUUUAUUUAAUAAAGAAGAUAAAAAAAAUUAUUUAAAAAAUAUGUGGUUAAUAACAUAUAUAAUUAAUGCAAUAAUAAAAUUGAUUAAUAUCAAAAUCUUAUAUUUGUGUUUUAAAAUUAAUCUUAAAAAAAUAUUUUUUAUAAAUAGUUUUUUAUUUUAAAAAAUAUAAUAAAUAUUUUUUAUUUUAAAAAAAAAUAUUAUUCACUGUAUAAACACGAUAAACAAUAUUGGACAUAAGUAUUUGUGUAGAAAAUGGGAGUAAGAAUAGUAGUAUUUCUUUUUAAUUUAUGUAUAAGUAUGUUUUUUUUGGAAUAAAAGAAUUUUAUUAAAUCCAAAAAAUCUUACAGCAAAAAGGCGAUCCAAUGAUCCAGCCUAGGAAUUCAAAAAAAAAAACACAACACCUACUACAUAAGGAAGCAUGAAAUGGCUAAUAUUGCUUCUAAGGUUAGGCAUAGUCCAACACCUAAGAUCAAUAAUAUCAAUGAUCUUAGGACCUCUAAUAGCUGUAACACCCCAUUUUUUAUUAGAUAUUUUAUUAUAUUUUAAUUGUUUAAAUUAUAUAUUUUGAUGAUUUAUUUUAUGGUCGGGUGUUGGCGGAUUAUAUAUCCUUGAAUUAGGGGUAUAGAGAGAUAAUAGAAGUGAGUAGAAUAAUUUAGAAUUAUUUUGGUAAUUAAAAAAAAUAUUUUAUUUAUUUUUAUAUAUUGAUUAGUGAAAAUAGAAUAAUUAGGCCAAAUAUGAAAAAUUGAGAAAGUUAGUGGAAAGAGGGAAUAAGAGAUCAUUAAAUUUAGGUCAAGUUGGUGAUUUGGAAAAAUUUACCCUAAAAAUAAAAAGUUAAGAGGAACCUAGGUUUAGUGAGAUUUUCACAUUACGUGACAUUUGAGAAAGAAGAGCAAAGAGGCAAAAGGCAAUAUGAUCAAGAGAAGAGAGUGAAAGUUCCAAUUCAGAAUUUUUGUAAGGAAUUCAGGUAAGGGUGAAAAAUUGUUUCAAUAAUAAGGGUGUAUGCAUGAAGGGUAGGGUGGAAGAGUCCUUAACCUCCAAUAGGAUGUUUGAGAUUUUACUAAAUUCUGAAUUUUUAUGAUAUCUUGAUGUUAUAUGUUGUGAUUAUUGGUGAUUAUUGGUGAUUUUCGUGCGUGGCUGUAUUUUCUGUUUUGAGUGUUGGGAUAAUUUCACAAUUGUUGAGAGUUUCGAAGGUUUAUGAAAAUAAUAAAGUUAUAAAUUAUAUGAUUUAAUUGAUGCCAAUAUGUGAUAAAUCUUAAAUUUGAUGUAUUAGUCAUUGGAUAAGUGUUGGGUUUCAAAUUCUAAGAUCAAGACUUUUUACGAAAUCGAAAUCGGAGGUCUGGAAGACCUCAAACGGAGAAAAAUAAGUUUCUAGGUUGUUCUUCGAACCUGUAACCGAUUACCGGUCUGAGUGUAACCGAUAACCACUUGAAAAAUAGGUUUUUGGGCUGUUUUCGAAGCCCAUAACCGGUUACGGGUUUGAGCGUAACCGGUUACUACUGUUACGUGCAAAAUUUAGAAAAUUGAAAAUGACGUAACUUGAGCUCCGUAGCUCCCUUUGACGCGCGGUUCGAAGUGUUAGAAAGCUAACAUAUAGUACUUUCUCAUGGUGAUGCUUUAAGAGGCUGAAUAUUAUGUAUUUAACAUUGAUUUAAUUGAUAAUUCAUUAUUAUUGUAGAUGUCUUGGUUGUUAUAUGGAAGUUGUUUAUGUGAAAGUUACAAUUGUCGAUUUUCUGUGUUUUGUUGGUUGUUGGCUACUAUUAGUUGUUGUAUGAUGUUGUUUUGAUGUCAGUUGCUGAUUUAUCAUGAUUUGAAUCGGUAUGAUGUAGUUAUUGGUGAAUGAUGAAUAUAUGUUAAUGAUAAAUGAUUGAUUAAACAUGAAUAAUUGUUGUGUGACAAUAAUGUUGUUAUGUCGGUGUUUCUAUAAUGAUGUUAUUAAGAUGACUGUGUUGAUGUUGUUGUGUUGGUGUUUUUAUGAUGACAAUAUGAACAUGAUGAAAUUAUGUUAAUGAUGUGGUGUUGAUGUUGGCAUACAUAGUCAAGAGUGGACCGAUGUGUAUAUAUUGAUGAUAUUGUUAUUGUUGCAUGUUAGGAGUCAUGCAUCCAUGUUGUCGGAGCUUCAGUUUUAUUUAUUUGGUGAGCCUCGAUCCUAUGAUGAUGGAUAUGGUUCGAGUAGCUAAUUCCUAUUAUGGGGGAUUAGUGAAGCGCUAUCUAUGGUGAUGGUAGUGAUUUUGGUGUGCUCCGGUUCCAAGAGGGAAUCGAUCCUAUGGUGGGGAUCAUAGAGCGAAAUGAACCUGAGUGUUCAUAUUUGGUACCACAUGCAUGUCGAGUCGGCGUUGAGUCCAUUUCAUAAGUGUUGCAUUUAUAUUGGUUGUGUAUAGUGUUGAUGAUAAUUGAUAAGUUGUUGUGUAUGAUGUUAAUGAUGAUUUGGGUGUGAGAAUUACAAUAUGUUGUUGUGAACGAUUAUGUUGACUGUAAUCUAUCUUUCAUGUUAUGUCUUUUAUAAUUGAUUAUAAUUUCUCAUCCCUUCUGUUUGAAUGUUGCCUUUACACGGACAUCGUGCAGAUACUCAGGAGUACCUUUGACUGAAGUAAGUGGAAGGAUAGUUCUUGAAGUGACUUCCAUUAGUUGUCAUUUAUUUAGUAGGAUAACUCUGAUCAUGUAACAUCGGGAUGGGAAUCGUUCGUGUUAAUUUCACUUGUUAUUGUUUGUUGGAGUUUUGAUUUUAUGUUGUUGAACGCUGAACAAUAUAACUCUCUUGUUCGUGUAAACAUCUCAGAUAAAUAUCAGAUGAGUUUGGAUGUCGUGUAAAUAUCCUAGGUGAAAUAAAGUUACAUGAUUAGUAGGUGUUGUUUGUUGUGUAUGUGUGAUAUCUUAUGUGCUAAGUUGAAAAAUAUCUGAUUUAUUUAUGAAUUAUGUAUUGGGGUAAUUAGGGUGUUACAUUAGCACCAUCAAUUUUGUUACCAAAACAAUGUUAAUUUCUAGCAUGUGACAUGUGUGUGAUUAUGUUUGUGGGAUCAGAGCAGGUCGGUUCGUCCGACCAGGUUGUCUAAUUAUGUUUGUUCCCUAGUAUGUGACAUGUGUGUGAGAACACUGCCGAUGCUUGUUUUGUUUUCCAUUUGUAGGUUGGGAAUGAAACAAGUGAGGGAGAAGAGUAUGCUUCUCUUGGAUGUUUUAACUGUAUAAAGCUUGGACAUCAUGUUGGUGCAUGCAAGAGUGCAUUGUUGGCUAGUUCAACUGUUUUGAGGAUGUUGUGCUUUUUCGUAACCUGGAGUGAGGUCGGAUUCGAGGAUGGUGACGGUUAGAAAAAUGGUGUGAUACUUGAGGGAACACAGUCAGGUGUUCUCGUUGGUCGCUUCCUUAUGAUGGGGAAUGCGAUGUUUUGGCCAGAGAUGAGCCAGUGGUGUGUUGAGUAUCCCGACGUGUUCCAUGAGGAUGUGUAUGUUUUGUAUUUUGUUGGAACAAGUUGACAUUAUUCUUUGAAUGAAUUGGUUGGAGUUAAACUAAAUGUUUACCAAUUGUUUUGAUAAGUUGGUGCAAUAUGCCACUGAAUGCAAGAGCUCAGGCGGUGUUGAAGUUGUGUUGUUCCUAACACUGAAGAUGUUGUAGAUUCGAGAUUCCUAUCUGCCGGUCAAUUUGGGAAGUCUUUAGGGAGAAUGAUUAGGUAUUAUUAAUGAUGCUUCUUGAAGAGUAGAGAGAAAUGUGACGACAAGUGUUAUGUUAGUGGUGUGUGAUUCCUGAUGUUUUCCUAAAGAUAUCUACGACUUGCCUACAGAGCAUGAAUCUGAGUUCGAUGGAGGUGAAAAGUUGACAUAUGUAUCAGUUAAGCAAGUGAGAGAGUACGUGAAGGAUAUGGCAUACGUGUUUGUGAUGUUAGCUUCAUUGGAAGCUAGAGGAAAGGUAAUAGUUCGUGAUCUUCCUGGAGUGUUUCCUGAAGACAUCAAUGAUUUGCCUCUGGAGCAUGAAGUAGAGUUUACCUUCGACUUAGUACUAGGUACGAGUUUGGUGUCAAUGGAUCCUUAUAGAAUGUCAGCUUCAGAGUUGG
RNAcentral lists this long non-coding RNA (9554 nucleotides) under Lathyrus oleraceus (garden pea). RNAcentral's name for it is "Pisum sativum (pea) long non-coding RNA (PSAT_LNC004211)". The record is from RNAcentral. Lineage: Eukaryota; Viridiplantae; Streptophyta; Magnoliopsida; Fabales; Fabaceae.